UCGAAUCUACCGUAGUUGAUCUUUUUCUUGUUUUUUUUUUCUUUCUUGCUUUUUAUUUUCUUUUUUAAAGUUAUGCCUUUGAGUUUAGUACACUUAACCAAACUAAUUUGAUCUGUCAGCGACGAGAUACACUACUUCUAAUUAAAGAAGAAAAAAAUCUUAUGAUCCAAAGAGCCUCUUUUGACGAUUCACGAAAAUUUGUAGACAAGAUCCAUUAAACUAGUCGUAACCGUUCCGGCCGUUACCCUCUCUCCGUAACGUUCCUUUUCCAUCCAUUAUUUUCUCUUCGACAUCUUCGUGAAACGUACGGGCUGCUACUCUUCGUAAUUACGACACAAACGUAGCUUCCGGGCAUUAACCGCGAACGACCAUCACGCAAAUGAACUGCUAUGAGACUAUCUCACUCGCGAGGAAUAAUGCCGACGAUAAUGACAACAAUAGACGGGAAAAAAGUGAACGGGAAAAGAAAAGAGAGAGAUGGAGAAAGAUGGAUAGACAGAUAGAUAGAUAGAUAGAUAGAGAGAGAGAGAGAGAGAGAGAGAGAGAGAACGAGAGAAAUGGUGCGACGGACGGAUUUUGCGAAUUCUUCAAAAAUUUCCACUUCUCGUCCAGAUAGGUCGGAUGAUUGAGAUUGCGAUGCGUUUCAAACGAGGACACAGUCUCCGACUAUUUUUAUAGACCGCCUCUUUUCAAUUGCUCUCUUUCCCAUAAUAAGGAUAUGAUUACUUCGUGCGGUAGGAAUAAAAGAGAUAGAUCGAUGGAUGUAGUACGCUUCAUUCUCGUUAGGAUUUUCAACUCGAGAAUUUGAGUGAUUUCAGUUGAAAUCGAGCGUGGGAAAUCAAUCGAUCCGACAUAACGCGUUUAUUUACGAACGCGUUGCGAAUGAAUAUGCAUUGAACGUACAUACAUACUUACAUACAUACAUACGUAGGUACGUACAUACGUGUAUGCAUGCAUGCAUACAUAUGUUUAUUUGCAUAUGCUCGUGAAUUCCUAAAGGUUAAUCGAUCGAGAUCUAAAACGAUUUUCUCUCGCUAGGAUCUUAUCGUCCCUAGGCUAUAUUAUUCGAGAUCGAGGGAAGGGAAAACUUUAGGCGAUGGAUAUUUUCUAAAAGUUUAGACGACGUUAAAAUUUUGUUGGCGAGAGAAAGAGAGACUCUCGGAUAACGUUUUUACUAUAGCCUCUUUUUUCUUUUCUUUUUCUUUUUUCCUCUUCCGCGCAUCACCCUGGAGUUUGUCGUUGCUCGUAGCGUCGCGAGCGAUAAGCUAGGAGAGUUCCGGCAACGGUGUUACGGUGUAUCCUUUCCGAGCGAUAUCCUGUGGGAAUAAACAACUGCGAUAUCCUAGGGCGUUUUACCUGUCCCUGCGGUGUUUGUGUUUGCGAAAAUUUGCAUUCGCCCAGCCUUGAAAAUUUGCAUAAGUAUAUGUGAACUGAGACUAACCGAAAGACACGCGUAUCGUCUCUCUUUUCUUACAGAUCGAUAACUCUGGGAAGCUUGGACCAUGGAAGAAAUUCUCUCUUUCUAUCGUUCUUCCAUUUUCAUUAACUCUUUAUCAAAACGAAAUCUCACAGAAUAUAUUCAAGACAUUACCCGAACGUUUUUCAUUCGAAAUCACGUAGGGAAGAUGUUGUAAGCCAGUAUUCAUUUGCACGAUCUCCUAAUCUGUCUCUUUCGUUAUUAUUAUAUCAUUAAAAAUGGAGGAACAGCUUACCGAGGUAUGGUGGACCGUGUCGAAAGCCAAGUUGUCGAUACCAGUGGUCAUCUUGGCAAUCUAAAACAAAACGUCAACGUCAAUAUCGCUUUAAUUAAUCUACAAAAUCAUUUUAUUAAUUCCCUCGUUAAUUACAUGUUAAACCGACGCAUCUAUUUAGGCCUGAAUAGUUUUCGAUAAUCGUGCGAUCUCGUCCUCUCGUUGACGAAGCCACCGCGCCGCGACUAUACGUAAUUUUGGGAAAGAGCCAGGAAAUAGCGAUCGUGCGUAUCCAUCGUUAUCUCCGUUAAUCAUGAAAUUUCCGCUAUUUGCCUAAGCGUUUACCAAUCGCGGGCGCGUUCAUCGAUAACGAGUUGUUUCAACCUCCGUUGCGUGUUUGCGGACCAUGCGAAGUAAACCCAAUGAUCAUCGAAUACGAUUCUUACCGAUUAUAAUCGAAUUAAUCUUGUAUUGAGGGAAAAGGAAAUUUGACAGUCGGCUCGUUUGAAAGAAAAGAAAAAACAAGAAAAAAGAAAAUCAGGACUAUAUUUGAUUUAAUUCCUAAUAUCAUUUUCAGAAAUAAUUAUCAGAAGAAUUGGUAACAUUCUUCAAGUUAUCGUUUGGAUCUUCGCUUAAGUCGUUCAACGCUCGUAGAGUACACACUUUGAAUAUAAGGUUAAAUUGCGUUAGGGGAUCGUGAAAACGCAUUGGUAACAUUCUCGAGACGUAAGACAAUGGCUGAUAGGUGCGAAUGAACGGUAAUAGAGCUCAUGGCUGUCGAAGCAAAAGGAUAAUAGGCGUCGCAGUUAAAUCAUUAUGCACCGUGCAUGAUAUUUUUUCGACCCCCAUCUCAAUGAUAAAUUCAAGGCUCGCAUACUAGGUCAAAGUUUAGCUUAGAUUGCUCAUCUAAGAAAAUCUUUUAAUUAUUCUUAUCGGAUUUGAAGACACUUGCGAUUAAUUACCAAUUGAUUUCUCUUUUUUGCGAAAAGGUAUGUAAUAAAAAAAAAAAAAAAGAAAGAAAGAAAAAAGAGAAUAUGCGUUACAAUCUUACGUAAGAAAAUAACGUCGUUAAUACACCUCUCUUCUCGUCACGUAAACAAUCGAGACAAAUAGAGAGCCUUAAAAAACAAUAAAAAAAGGAGUCAAGGUUUAUCGAUAAAAACUUCUCUGUUGUUAGUGACGUGUUCUAUGCGAAAAUAUUUUGAAUUACCAAUAAACAACAAAAUACUUUUUUCUUUCAACUAUAAUAUCGCGUAUGAUAACGUCACGUCGUAAUGAUAAUGUUUAUUUACGAAAGAUAGUUAUUAAAAAUUUCUACGCGAAUUCUACGAAUAUAAUUCUACGUUUCUAGGAAUUUGUAUGAAUGUUAUUGCCUACAAUUAUCGGCUUAUGUAGAAUACUUACAACGGUACGAACGUGACCCAUUAAAGUGAUAAAAGAAAGAAGAAAAAAAAAAAAAAAAAAAUAAAAUAAAAAUAUAUAAACGGUCGAGAGAUUCCCAAAGCGGACAGAGAGAACGUGCCGAAGAUCGAGCGUAAGGGCUCUCGAGCGGGGGACCAUCUUUAAGUUCAACACGAUUUCACCAUUAGUAACCUUUCUAGCGUUUCCACGUGAUUGCCUGGCAUAGUACUCGACUAGCCUUGACAUAGAAGCAAGAAAAGAAAGGUCAGUCGCUGGAAUAAUCGAUGUAAAGCCGAGCGAUGAGAAGGAAGUAUACGGGAACUGGAUCUUGCGUAGAACGAAAGUUAAACUUUCACCAAGAAAACCGAUCAUCGUUAACGCUAUAAUAUAUCUGCAUAAAUAUAUUUGUAAUCCUUGAAAAAUCCAAAUAAAUAAUACUCUGUUUGA
This is a long non-coding RNA of Vespa velutina, 3539 nucleotides long. RefSeq lists it as uncharacterized. The transcript has 2 exons. Lineage: Eukaryota; Metazoa; Arthropoda; Insecta; Hymenoptera; Vespidae. The record is from RefSeq and is a predicted model, not a curated record.